This 439-nucleotide ribosomal RNA is filed under the name uncultured bacterium. Its description in RNAcentral is "partial 16S ribosomal RNA". It matches the Rfam family "Bacterial small subunit ribosomal RNA", at positions 339 to 795 of the family's 1533-position model. The record is from RNAcentral.
CUACGGGAGGCUGCAGUGAGGAAUAUUGCACAAUGGGGGAAACCCUGAUGCAGCAACGCCGCGUGGAGGAUGACGCAUUUCGGUGUGUAAACUCCUUUUAUCAGAGAAGAAAAUGACGGUAUCUGAUGAAUAAGCUCCGGCUAACUCCGUGCCAGCAGCCGCGGUAAUACGGAGGGAGCAAGCGUUAUUCGGAAUCACUGGGCGUAAAGGACGCGUAGGCGGGUUUUUAAGUCAGGUGUGAAAUCCUACAGCUCAGCUGUAGAACUGCACUUGAAACUGGGAACCUAGAGUAUGGAUGGGGCAGGUGGAAUUAGUGGUGUAGGGGUAGUAUCCGUAGAUAUCUCUAGGAAUACCGAAAGCGAAGGCGACCUGCUGGGACAUAACUGACGCUGAGGCGUGAAAGCGUGGGGAGCAAACAGGAUUAGAUACCCCCGUAGUC